UUCGCAAUGCCCGAAAGGGUGACGAAGCGACGCCGCGUGUGGGAAGAAGGCCUUCGGGUUGUAAACCACUGUCGGGAGUUAAGAAAUGUAAGGGUGUUAAUAGUAUCCUUACUUGACUAAGGCUCCGGAGGAAGCCACGGCUAACUCUGUGCCAGCAGCCGCGGUAAUACAGAGGCGGCAAGCGUUGUUCGGAAUUAUUGGGCGUAAAGAGCACGUAGGCGGCUAUGUAAGUCGGUUGUAAAAGCCUUCCGCUCAACGGGAGAACAGCAGCCGACACUGCAUGGCUUGAGUGCGGGAGGGGAGAGCGGAACUUCUGGUGGAGCGGUGAAAUGCGUAGAUAUCAGAAGGAACGCCGGCGGCGAAAGCGACUCUCUGGCCCGUAACUGACGCUGAGUGUGCGAAAGCUAGGGGAGCAAACGGGAUUAGAUACCCCGGUAGUCCUAGCCGUAAACGAUGGGCACUAAGUAGAGGGGUUUU
This 477-nucleotide ribosomal RNA is filed under the name uncultured Planctomycetales bacterium. Its description in RNAcentral is "bacterial SSU rRNA". It matches the Rfam family "Bacterial small subunit ribosomal RNA", at positions 365 to 832 of the family's 1533-position model. The record is from RNAcentral. Lineage: Bacteria; Pseudomonadati; Planctomycetota; Planctomycetia; Planctomycetales.